RNAcentral lists this ribosomal RNA (251 nucleotides) under Escherichia coli. RNAcentral describes it as "partial 23S ribosomal RNA". It matches the Rfam family "Bacterial large subunit ribosomal RNA", at positions 460 to 714 of the family's 2925-position model. Lineage: Bacteria; Pseudomonadati; Pseudomonadota; Gammaproteobacteria; Enterobacterales; Enterobacteriaceae. The record is from RNAcentral.
CCAAGGCUAAAUACUCCUGACUGACCGAUAGUGAACCAGUACCGUGAGGGAAAGGCGAAAAGAACCCCGGCGAGGGGAGUGAAAAAGAACCUGAAACCGUGUACGUACAAGCAGUGGGAGCCUCUUUAUGGGGUGACUGCGUACCUUUUGUAUAAUGGGUCAGCGACUUAUAUUCUGUAGCAAGGUUAACCGAAUAGGGGAGCCGAAGGGAAACCGAGUCUUAACUGGGCGUUAAGUUGCAGGGUAUAGAC